Molecule: ribosomal RNA, 158 nt
Filed under: uncultured bacterium
Lineage: Bacteria
Description: partial 16S ribosomal RNA
Rfam family: Bacterial small subunit ribosomal RNA
Source: RNAcentral
UGAGGAAUAUUGGUCAAUGGGCGGAAGCCUGAACCAGCCAAGUCGCGUGAGGGAAGACGGUCCUAUGGAUUGUAAACCUCUUUUGCAGGGGAGCAAGGAGCGGUACGUGUGCCGCUUUGGAGAGUACCCUGAGAAAAAGCAUCGGCUAACUCCGUGCC